Molecule: ribosomal RNA, 560 nt
Filed under: Serratia sp. C12-1
Lineage: Bacteria; Pseudomonadati; Pseudomonadota; Gammaproteobacteria; Enterobacterales; Yersiniaceae
Also listed under: 2 other names
Description: bacterial SSU rRNA
Rfam family: Bacterial small subunit ribosomal RNA
Source: RNAcentral
AGGGGGAUAACUACUGGAAACGGUAGCUAAUACCGCAUAACGUCUUCGGACCAAAGUGGGGGACCUUCGGGCCUCACGCCAUCAGAUGUGCCCAGAUGGGAUUAGCUAGUAGGUGGGGUAAUGGCUCACCUAGGCGACGAUCCCUAGCUGGUCUGAGAGGAUGACCAGCCACACUGGAACUGAGACACGGUCCAGACUCCUACGGGAGGCAGCAGUGGGGAAUAUUGCACAAUGGGCGCAAGCCUGAUGCAGCCAUGCCGCGUGUGUGAAGAAGGCCUUCGGGUUGUAAAGCACUUUCAGCGAGGAGGAAGGGUAGUGUGUUAAUAGCACAUUGCAUUGACGUUACUCGCAGAAGAAGCACCGGCUAACUCCGUGCCAGCAGCCGCGGUAAUACGGAGGGUGCAAGCGUUAAUCGGAAUUACUGGGCGUAAAGCGCACGCAGGCGGUUUGUUAAGUCAGAUGUGAAAUCCCCGCGCUUAACGUGGGAACUGCAUUUGAAACUGGCAAGCUAGAGUCUUGUAGAGGGGGGUAGAAUUCCAGGUGUAGCGGUGAAAUGCGUA